This 239-nucleotide unclassified non-coding RNA is filed under the name plant metagenome. Its description in RNAcentral is "partial contains small subunit ribosomal RNA and internal transcribed spacer 1". The stretch from base 1 to 46 matches the Rfam family "Eukaryotic small subunit ribosomal RNA", at positions 1786 to 1831 of the family's 1831-position model. The record is from RNAcentral.
AAGUCGUAACAAGGUUUCCGUAGGUGAACCUGCGGAAGGAUCAUUAACGAGUAAGGGUCCUGACCGGCCCGACCUCCAAGCCCUUUGUCGUUGAAAAACCACUGUUGCUUUGGCGGGACAGCGGGUCCCCAGGGGCCCGCCGUCCGGUCUUCGGCCCGGCGAGCCGCCUGCCAGUAGUCCAACCGAUAAUCUUGUCAUAGAACAAGUACGUCUGAUGUAAAUUGAUAAAUCAAUCAAAA